CAGAGAUUCAUCCUGCAGUGAAACCCAAUGUAAUCAGGUCAACACCAAGCCUUCAAAGUCCAAGUGCAAAACGACUGCUUGCACCCUCCAAUCACUCUUCAUUAAGUAUUUUGGGAAAAAGAAACUACAGCCAUCAUAAUGGUCUUGAUGAAUCAUGCAGCCAUACAGCAAGAACAAUAAUGCAUGCUGCUCCCCAUGUUCAUCUGACUAAUGGUAAGGCCUUGCAAGCCAGUGCAAGUGCCUUUAAGACAAGCACCAUUCCAGUGAUCAAGAGACAGAGGCAAAAUUGGCUUGAUACUUCAGAUGAUGGUUUCUUUAUAGCUACAGAAGAGACCAGAAAAAUCCGUAAGAAGUUCACCAGAUCACAGCUGAAAAGAGCUUCCAGAACACCUUGUUCUCCGAUCAUUACAAAGACAAAGUCUCUCAUGAACAGUAGGCAGGCACGAGCAGAGCCAGGAACCAUCAUGCACUGAAGAUAUAACAGCAUCAGC
Molecule: long non-coding RNA, 491 nt
Filed under: Aquila chrysaetos chrysaetos
Lineage: Eukaryota; Metazoa; Chordata; Aves; Accipitriformes; Accipitridae
Description: lncRNA (ENSACCG00020009369.1)
Source: RNAcentral